CAGGCUCCGAGGGGCAGUGAGCAGCGCCCUCAGCUUGCUUUUUAGGAGGGCAGAUCGAUCAGAGGAGUCCCAGGGGCCCCGCCCGAGGGCACCUCCAUCUCUCUGGGCUGGGCUGACUUCCCCGGUCCAGGGAGCCCCCGCUUCUUCAUUCGGCUCACUGAGCACUUGUGGGGGCACGACCUCAUCUUCUAAAGGCAUCUUUUCUUCCAAAUGGUCCAGCAAAUUCUUUAGAAAAGGAAAAUACAGGGAAAGGGAUAAACCUCACUGACUUGGAGGAAAUCAAGAGGAGUGAGCACAGCAUCAGAAAGCCCCCUGGCCCCAGACUGCACCCGCUUUCCUGGCCCUACCUUGAAAUCCAUCAGGUCUGCGUUGGACACGGCAUUGUACAUGGGAUUAGCUCUGGUCUGACCUAGGAGCUGGAAUGCCAGUAAAAGGAGGAAGCUCACGGUGGUGGUGGAGAAGGAGCUCAUGCUGGCGUCGUCAAGGAGCAAUCCACUGCUUGCUGCUCUGUCUCUCCCCUCUGGUUCCUCUCUGGUUCCCCUCUCUUGGCCUACGUCUGUCCCUGUCUCCCAGCUGCCCAGUGCCGCCUCUUUUUAUAGCCCCCCAGCUCUCCAAGCACGCAGGAGAGACAGAACCCUCCCCAUUCUGUCACUUGCAGUGAUAAAGCUG
RNAcentral lists this long non-coding RNA (669 nucleotides) under Homo sapiens (human). RNAcentral describes it as "HSALNT0290289". The stretch from base 228 to 335 matches the Rfam family "NPPA antisense RNA 1 conserved region 3". The record is from RNAcentral. Lineage: Eukaryota; Metazoa; Chordata; Mammalia; Primates; Hominidae.